RNAcentral lists this ribosomal RNA (253 nucleotides) under uncultured bacterium. RNAcentral's name for it is "partial 16S ribosomal RNA". It matches the Rfam family "Bacterial small subunit ribosomal RNA", at positions 524 to 776 of the family's 1533-position model. The record is from RNAcentral.
UACGUAGGGGGCAAGCGUUGUCCGGAUUUAUUGGGCGUAAAGAGCGUGUAGGCGGCCAGGCAGGUCCGUUGUGAAAACUCGAGGCUCAACCUCGAGACGUCGAUGGAAACCGUCUGGCUAGAGUCCGGAAGAGGAGAGUGGAAUUCCUGGUGUAGCGGUGAAAUGCGCAGAUAUCAGGAAGAACACCGAUGGCGAAGGCAGCUCUCUGGGACGGUACUGACGGUGAGACGCGAAAGCGUGGGGAGCGAACAGG